This is an RNA transcript of Mus musculus (house mouse), 3407 nucleotides long. It is a transcript of the gene named predicted gene 6815, with no coding region annotated. The transcript has a single exon. Lineage: Eukaryota; Metazoa; Chordata; Mammalia; Rodentia; Muridae. The record is from RefSeq and is marked validated.
ACAUCUGGGUCCAGGAGGAGGUCAGCUGUCUGGAAGCACUUCUACUUGACAUCCCUCGAUAGCUCCAAGGCCGUCUGUGUCCACUGUAUGAAUGAGUUCAGUAGAGGGAAGAACGGGAAGGACCUGGCACAAGCUGCCUCAUCAGGCACAUGUGGAGAGCACAUUGCUCCAUUGUACUGCAGGAGAACGGAGGCAACACAGGCAUCCCACUAUUGUACCCUAUGCCCCCAACCCUGCUGCCUGCCCUGCUGCCCCCAGAAAGAGAUCUCAACUCCGCAUCGUUGUCUCCAGGCAAACAAGUCAAAGAAUCCCUUUCUGCCUCCUCAUCCCCAGACAGGCUUCCUGAGUACCUUUCAUCACACACUAAUCCUGGGGAUGUGUCCCGGGAAGAUGUGUCCAUCUUGUCAUCCUCUGAUGACUUGGGGCAGGCCUCUGUAGUGUCCUCUCCAGAGAAGCAGCCAGCAGACACGGUAAAUCCAAGGUUUGAAUCAGGCACUGUCUUCCAGCAAAAUAAGAUGGUGAUGAGAAGCCUAAAGUCAGAAGUCUGGCAUCACUUUUCCCUGGCCCCCAUGGACAGUCUCAAAGCAGUGUGCCGGUAGUGUAGCUGCGUUAUUAGUCGGGGAAAGAAGGGAGAUGUUGGCACCAGUUGUUUGAUGCGACACCUGUACAGAUGCCACCCUGAGGUGGUUGGGAAUCAGAAGGACUUUCUGGGUACAAGUUUGGCAAACUUCUCCAUAUGUCACUUUGGCUUCGCAGAAAGCUCCUCCAAGUUAACUGACUUGCCAGCAAUGGUCAGGAAAAACCAUCAAGGUGUGUUUCCUACUAAUAGCAAGAAGACUUCCAAGCUGUGGAAUCACUUUUCUAUUUGUUCAGCAGACUCAACAAAAGUGGUGUGCCUGCACUGUGACCAUCAGCAGGGGAAAGAAGUCUACCAACCUGGACACUAACUGUCUCCCAAGACAUCUGCAGCAGUUCCAUGGUCAUGUACUCAAGAAUGACGUCUUAGAGGCCACUCUGCCCCGUUCUCCAGGCAUCCGGAGGCCUCUAGGCACAGAGCUCUCAGGGCCUUCCUCUUUCCGUGACUCCACAGAGAAGUUCUAUGACUCUCAUCCAGUUGCCAAAAAAAAAAAAAAAAAAUCACAAGUCUCAUAGCUGAAAUGAUUGCACUUGACCUUCAGCCAUACUCCCUUGUAGACAAUGUUGGCUUUAACAGGCUGCUUGAAUACUUGAAACCUCAGUACUCUUUACCCUCCCCUUCCUACUUCUCUAGAACAGCUAUCCCAGGUAUGUAUGACAGUGUGAAACAGAUAAUUAUGUCACAUCUGAAGGAAGCUGGGAGUGGUGUGGUUCACUUCACCUCUGGAAUAUGGAUGAGUAGCCAGACUCGUAAAUACCUGACCCUUACAGUUCACUGGGUCACCUUCACAUCCGCUGUCUGACCACAUUGUGAGGACCACCAUUGCUCAGCACUUUUAGAUGUGUCACAGGUCGACUGUGACUAUAGUGGAAAUAGCAUUCAGAAGCAGCUGGAGUGUUGGUGGGAAGCCUGGGUGACUUCCAUUGGCCUUCAGAUUGGCAUCACUGUCACUGACAAUCCAAGCAUAGGGAAGAUGCUGAGUGAGGGUGAAUACUCAAGUGUGCAGUGCUUCAGUCACACAGUGAAUCUGAUUGUGAGCGAGGCUAUCAAGAGCCAGAGGAUGGUGCAGAACUUACUGAGUAUUGCCCGGAAGCUGUGUGAGCGGGUCCAUCAGUCACCCAGAGCAAGAGAGAAGUUAGCAGAACUGCAGAAAGAGUACGAGCUGCCACAGCACCAGCUGAUCCCGGAUGUACCGUCUAAGUGGAGCACAUUGUUCCACAUGCUUGAACAUCUGAUUGAGCAGAAGAGGGCAGUUAAUGAGGUAUCCAUUGAGUGUAACUUCAGAGAAUUGAUCAGCUGUGACCAGUGGGAGGUCAUGCAGUCUGUGUGCCAUGUGCUGAGACCAUUUGAUGCUGCAAGCCGAGAGAUGAGUGCCCACAUGUCUACAAUGAGCCAGGUCAUCCCCAUGAUCCAUACCCUCAGCAGAAAAGUGGAGAUGCUGUUUGGGGAGACCAUGGGCAUUGACACCAUGCUUAAGUCCCUGAAGAAAGCCAUGGCAAGCUGCCUGUCUGCCACCCUCCAUGACCCCAGGUACAUCUUUGCCACACUGCUGGACCCUCACUACAAAGCUUCCCUGUUCACAGAGGAGGAGGCAGAGCAGUACAGGCAAGACUUAAUCAGGGAGCUAGAAAUACUGAAUUCUACCUCAGAGGACACUGCCACCUCCAAUGGCUGUGACUCAGGGUCCCUACUUAAAGACACUGGCACUGAUAAAGAGAGAUCAGAGAGAGAAGCUACCUGAAGACAUGGUGCUUGCGUAUUUGGAGGAAGAGGUGCUGGAACACAGUUGUGACCCAUUUACCUACUGGAACCUAAAGUGGUCAUUGUGGCAUGGGCUGUCUACCUUAGCAGUCCAAUUUCUGGGCUGCCCCCCAAGUACAGUCCCCUCAGAAAAGCUGUUCAGCACACCCAUGGAUGCUGGCAGCUUUGGCCAGCCCAGGCUCAUGAUGGAGCAUUUUGAAAAGCUCAUCUUUUUUAAAGUGGCUCUUCCUUUAAUAUGCUUUCAGUAUUGAACUCAGCGAUGGAGCCACCAGACUGGAAACAUGCUUCAGAGUGCUAGCUACUGUACCAGGGCUGACUUGCCUGGCAGGGCCAUGUCGGACACCAGACCAGGCAUCUGGGGCUACCUGCCAGUUCUCACCAUAAUAUCCACAUGUGCCUUACUCCUCCUUCAGGCCAGGUGUCAAGGUGCAUUUUCAGAAGCCCACUAAAAACAAAGUCUUGGCAAUCAGGAUGAUCAAGUUUAAAACUAUAAAGGUUUUUUUGUUUUGUUUUGAGGGGAUAGUAAUCUGUUUUACUAGAAUGAAAGGAAGAUGUAAACAAAUUUAUUAUGUGGGGUUUUUAUUCAGUUGUGUAAAAACCACAAAUCAGGUGCUGUAUUUUAAUUAAAUAUUUUAAUUGCAACAAAACAGCUUUUGUGGCUGUUAAAUGAAACCUGUAAAUAGGAGGUGGGGAUUAAGCCAUCCUGACUGAACAGUUCUUAACCACAGGCUCCAAAAGUAUGUCCUAGAGAGAAUAUUCUGGAAGCUGUUUACAGAACCAGGCAUUUGAAAACAAAACUGAACUUGGGCAUAUCAUGGAGUGUCAAUCACAUGGCUAAUUGGUCAUGAGAACGUUCCCAUGUCAGGUGUUGCAUUCAGGUUUUACACGGUCAGUUAACUCAGAGAUAUCCUGCUUAUCAUGAGCCCCUUGAAAUUGGAUCCAAGUUUUAAAGUCAUGCUUAGGACUUCACCAGAGCAUGAUAUGACACGUUUACAACAGAUGGCCUGCU